AUGUAUCUUUUUCAAGAGAGACCCACACUGAGAUCUUUUUAACUCUGAGCCCAGGGAAGGAGCGCAGAGAGAGUGCCCCAUACACUUUAAACUUUGUUGGAUUUUGUGUGCGUGUGUCUUUCCAUGAUCGGCAGUCAUGUUUUCAAAUAUGCCAGUCUCCAAGAAGGUGCCUCAAUAUCUUCAAGGUCUGGCUAUACGCGACAGUCAACAUUUACCCAAGUGACAUCUGAUGGGACAACGGAGCACGCGCCAAGAACUUGGAGCUUCAAGCCAUGUGCUGUCCUGCCUCCUGCCACCUCCCUGCCUCCCCGGGACAGGUUCUCAGCUCCCCCUUACCCCCUGGCACCGUGGCCCAGGCCUCCCCCUCCACUGACGCCCUCCACCCUGGGUACAGGCACAGGGAGGGCGGGGGUCAGGUAUGAGGGGUGUGCCAGCGGCCAUCACUGCCCAGGAUUGGCAGCAUGCACUUGGGCACCCAUGGCAGGGGUGGCAGGGUGCCUGGGAGGGUCUGCAGUAUCCCCAAGCCCAAUAGCACUCCCUGAAGCAGCUUUGUGUGGUCAAGGAUCUUCUUCCUCCUCCUGUAGCCCUCCCGGGACUGCCUUGUGUUUGUCUUUUCUGGCCAGCUCAAGGCACCCUCGGGGACAAGCCACGAAAUAAAAAAUUGUAUACUUUUGGCGAUUCUGCACAGGAACGAAACGCUCUGGUUUUGCAUUUAAAACCGCUAUUGCACAAUAUGGAGAUGAAUGGUAAAAUUCAUGCUAGUCAUUUAAAAUUUUUAUUUUUCUUUACUUAGAAUGACAUUAAGCAGCAAACAGAAGACACCGUGACAAGUUGGGAGAGAGCCUGGAGAAGUAAAAGCGUUCUAUGUACUUUCAAUGGCACUUUUUCCCGCUUUUCCGGCAAAGGGCCCCGCAUGUGGCUGGGCCCCACAAGGACACAGCUGGCCCUGCCACUAGCGUCCCCAGGACAACACGGUCCCAGAAGCCCGGCACAAGGGGCAUCUACCCAAUAGCUCCAACAGGAAGUACCACGGAUCGCACUCACCUGCACAGCCUGGGUCACAUGCUCAUUUCUGAACCAAUCACAGCAGAUGAGGAGGCAGGAGCCCUCUGAUUGGUCAGGUCUGGGCAUGUGUCCAUCCCUAAGACUAGGGGAUUGGUCAGCCCACCUCAGUGCCUCCCAAGGGGUGCUCCAUGGGGAAGAGGGAUUCCAUUCCCAGAGGAAUGGGGGGGGAUUGUCCAGCCACCAACCCCUCCUCCCCUCAACGCUGUUCUUCCCCUACACACUCCUUAUGCUUAGUUUAAAAGAGAGAACAGGGGCAGCUGGCUGGCUCAGUGGGCAGAGUGUGUGACUUGAUCUCGGGACUGUGAGUUCGAACCCCACUUUGGGUGGAGAGAUUACUUAAAAAACGGAAUUUUGACGGUGCCUGGGUGGCUCAGUCGGUUGAGCGUCCGACUUCGGCUUAGGUCACGAUCUCAGGGUUUGUGAGUUCAAGCCCCGCAUCAGGCUCUGUGCUGACAGCUCAGAGCCUGGAGCCUGCUUCAGAUUCUGUGUCUCCCUCUCUCUCUCUGCUCAUCCCCUGCUUGCACUCUGUCUGUCUGUCUGUCUCUCUCUCUC
Molecule: long non-coding RNA, 1617 nt
Organism: Neofelis nebulosa (Clouded leopard)
Lineage: Eukaryota; Metazoa; Chordata; Mammalia; Carnivora; Felidae
Exons: 2
Source: RefSeq, a predicted model, not a curated record